CGAGGAAGUGUCUAUCUUAAACAGUACAUCAAGUCUCAUCCCGAGGAAGUGUCUAUCUUAAACAGAAAAUCAUGUCUCAUCCCGAGGAAGUGUCUAUCUUAAACAGUACAUCAAGUCUCAUCCCGAGGAAGUGUCUAUCUUAAACAGUACAUCAAGUUUCAUCCCGAGGAAGUGUCUAUCUUAAACAGUAGAUCAAGUCUCAUCCCGAGGAAGUGUCUAUCUUAAUCAGUACAUCAAGUCUCAUCCCGAGGAAGUGUCUAUCUUAAACAGUACAUCAAGUCUCAUCCCGAGGAAGUGUCUAUCUUAAACAGUACAUCAAGAAGUGUCUAUCUUAAACAGUACAUCAAGUCUCAUCCUGAGGAAGUGUCUAUCUUAAACA
This 379-nucleotide long non-coding RNA is filed under the name Haliotis rubra (blacklip abalone). Its description in RNAcentral is "uncharacterized LOC124267592, transcript variant X1". The record is from RNAcentral. Lineage: Eukaryota; Metazoa; Mollusca; Gastropoda; Lepetellida; Haliotidae.